Schizosaccharomyces pombe (fission yeast) is the source of this 205-nucleotide non-coding RNA. Lineage: Eukaryota; Fungi; Ascomycota; Schizosaccharomycetes; Schizosaccharomycetales; Schizosaccharomycetaceae. The record is from the annotation of a GenBank genome assembly.
UUUCUCUGGAACCACAGGGUCCCAUGCUUCUAAAAGUUGCAAAGCCUUAAGAGAAUCCUGAAUAAUCCAUUUCUUCAGUUCCUCACCAAUUUUUUUUUUCCAAACAAACAUCAUAAAUGACUCAUAGUGUGUUAAGCUUUGACCUUCUAAUUCAUCAUCGAAUUCCACAUCAAUAUCCAUAAAUGUACUACUCUCUUCUCUCUUG